UGGGGAAUCUUGCGCAAUGGGCGAAAGCCUGACGCAGCGACGCCGCGUGGGGGAUGAAUGCCUUCGGGUUGUAAACCCCUUUCGGCAGGGACGAAGCGAACGUGACGGUACCUGCAGAAGAAGUCCCGGCUAACUACGUGCCAGCAGCCGCGGUAAGACGUAGGGGACGAGCGUUGUCCGGAUUUAUUGGGCGUAAAGAGCGCGUAGGCGGCUUGGUAAGUCGGAUGUGAAAUCCCGGGGCUCAACCCCGUGACUGCACCCGAAACUGCCCGGCUAGAGGUAGGUAGGGGAGAUCGGAAUUCCUGGUGUAGCGGUGAAAUGCGCAGAUAUCAGGAGGAACACCGGUGGCGAAGGCGGAUCUCUGGGCCUUACCUGACGCUCAGGCGCGAAAGCUAGGGGAGCAAACAGGAUUAGAUACCCCCGUAGUCC
This 429-nucleotide ribosomal RNA is filed under the name uncultured bacterium. RNAcentral's name for it is "bacterial SSU rRNA". It matches the Rfam family "Bacterial small subunit ribosomal RNA", at positions 355 to 796 of the family's 1533-position model. The record is from RNAcentral.